UGAACAACCUGUCCCUACGUUCCGGAUAAUUGACCGAAAGGUCUUGUAAUACGGGGGAGGGUCUUUAUGGGGCAUCUCAUGAAGAAGGAACGUGCCGGAGUAAUCCGGUGCGGUGCGGGGAGGGGUUCGCGGAUUAUCAGCUUGUUGGUGAGGUAACGGCUCACCAAGGCGACGACGAUUAGCUGGUCUGAGAGGAUGGUCAGCCACAUUGGAACUGAGACACUGUCCAG
RNAcentral lists this ribosomal RNA (230 nucleotides) under uncultured bacterium. Its description in RNAcentral is "partial 16S ribosomal RNA". It matches the Rfam family "Bacterial small subunit ribosomal RNA", at positions 118 to 334 of the family's 1533-position model. The record is from RNAcentral.